RNAcentral lists this ribosomal RNA (291 nucleotides) under uncultured bacterium. Its description in RNAcentral is "partial 16S ribosomal RNA". It matches the Rfam family "Bacterial small subunit ribosomal RNA", at positions 8 to 290 of the family's 1533-position model. The record is from RNAcentral.
AGAGUUUGAUCAUGGCUCAGGAUAAACGCUGGCGGCGCACAUAAGACAUGCAAGUCGAACGGACUUAACUCGAAGUUUACUUUGAGAGCGGUUAGUGGCGGACUGGUGAGUAACACGUAAGCAACCUGCCUAUCAGAGGGGAAUAACAGUGAGAAAUCACUGCUAAUACCGCAUAUGCCAUAGUUAUCGCAUGAUAAUAGUGGGAAAGAAGCAAUUCGCUGAUAGAUGAGCUUGCGGCUGAUUAGCUAGUUGGUGAGGUAACGGCCCACCAAGGCGACGAUCAGUAGCCGG